GAUUGAACGCUGGCGGCAUGCUUUACACAUGCAAGUCGAACGGUAACAGGCCGCAAGGUGCUGACGAGUGGCGAACGGGUGAGUAAUGCAUCGGAACGUGCCCAGUCGUGGGGGAUAACUACUCGAAAGAGUAGCUAAUACCGCAUACGAUCUAUGGAUGAAAGCGGGGGACCGUAAGGCCUCGCGCGAUUGGAGCGGCCGAUGUCAGAUUAGGUAGUUGGUGGGGUAAAGGCUCACCAAGCCAACAAUCUGUAGCUGGUCUGAGAGGACGACCAGCCACACUGGGACUGAGACACGGCCCAGACUCCUACGGGAGGCAGCAGUGGGGAAUUUUGGACAAUGGGCGCAAGCCUGAUCCAGCAAUGCCGCGUGCAGGAAGAAGGCCUUCGGGUUGUAAACUGCUUUUGUACGGAACGAAACGGCUCUGGUUAAUACCCGGGGCUAAUGACGGUACCGUAAGAAUAAGCACCGGCUAACUACGUG
RNAcentral lists this ribosomal RNA (483 nucleotides) under uncultured bacterium. RNAcentral's name for it is "partial 16S ribosomal RNA". It matches the Rfam family "Bacterial small subunit ribosomal RNA", at positions 27 to 507 of the family's 1533-position model. The record is from RNAcentral.